GUUGGGCGUGGUGGCAUGUACCUGUAAGCCCAGCUACUUGGGAGGCUGAAGCAGGAAGAUCAUUUGACUAGGAAUUCAGGGCGAGCCUGAGCAACACAGUGAGAACCUGUCUCUU
Molecule: small RNA, 115 nt
Filed under: Marmota monax (woodchuck)
Lineage: Eukaryota; Metazoa; Chordata; Mammalia; Rodentia; Sciuridae
Source: RNAcentral